UUUGAUCAUGGCUCAGGAUUAACGCUAGCGGCAGGCCUAAUACAUGCAAGUCGAACGGGAUUAUUGGUAGCAAUACUGAUAUGAGAGUGGCGCACGGGUGCGUAACGCGUAUGCAACCUACCWCUAACUGGGGGAUAGCCUUCCGAAAGGAAGAUUAAUACCGCAUAAAACAAUGAAGUGGCAUCACUUUAUUGUCAAAACUCCGGUGGUUAGAGAUGGGCAUGCGUAAUAUUAGCUUGUUGGUGAGGUAAUGGCUCACCAAGGCUACGAUAUUUAGGGGGUCUGAGAGGAUGAUCCCCCACACUGGUACUGAGACACGGACCAGACUCCUACGGGAGGCAGCAGUAAGGAAUAUUGGACAAUGGUGGCAACACUGAUCCAGCCAUGCCGCGUGCAGGAUGAAUGCCCUAUGGGUUGUAAACUGCUUUUAUACGGGAAAAAACCCCACUACGUGUAGUGGGCUGAUGGUACCGUAAGAAUAAGGAUCGGCUAACUUCGUGCCAGCAGCCGCGGUAAUACGAAGGAUUCGAGCGUUAUCCGGAUUUAUUGGGUUUAAAGGGUGCGUAGGUGGAUUAAUAAGUCAGUGGUGAAAGCCCGAAGCUCAACUUCGGAACUGCCAUUGAUACUGUUAAUCUUGAGUACAGUUGAGGUGGGCGGAAUGUGUCAUGUAGCGGUGAAAUGCUUAGAUAUGACACAGAACACCGAUUGCGAAGGCAGCUCACUAAGCUGUAACUGACACUGAGGCACGAAAGUGUGGGUAGCAAACAGGAUUAGAUACCCUGGUAGUCCACACCCUAAACGAUGAUUACUCGUUGUUGGCGAUACACAGUCAGCGACUAAGCGAAAGCAUUAAGUAAUCCACCUGGGGGAGUACGGUCGCAAGACUGAAACUCAAGGAAUUGACGGGGGCCCCGCACAGCGGAGGAGCAUGUGGUUUAUCGAUGAU
RNAcentral lists this ribosomal RNA (946 nucleotides) under uncultured bacterium. Its description in RNAcentral is "bacterial SSU rRNA". It matches the Rfam family "Bacterial small subunit ribosomal RNA", at positions 12 to 958 of the family's 1533-position model. The record is from RNAcentral.